Molecule: long non-coding RNA, 73 nt
Organism: Amblyraja radiata (thorny skate)
Lineage: Eukaryota; Metazoa; Chordata; Chondrichthyes; Rajiformes; Rajidae
Exons: 3
Source: RefSeq, a predicted model, not a curated record
CAGCAGAUGCUGUAUUCUGGAGCAAAAGAAACACUGCUGGGUGAACUCAGCUGGUUAGUCAGCAUCUAUGGAG